This 515-nucleotide ribosomal RNA is filed under the name uncultured bacterium. RNAcentral's name for it is "partial 16S ribosomal RNA". It matches the Rfam family "Bacterial small subunit ribosomal RNA", at positions 28 to 523 of the family's 1533-position model. The record is from RNAcentral.
GACGAACGCUGGCGGCGUGCCUAAUACAUGCAAGUCGAGCGGACUUUCAAGAAGCUUGCUUUUUGAAAGUUAGCGGCGGACGGGUGAGUAACACGUGGGCAACCUGCCUGUAAGACGGGGAUAACUCCGGGAAACCGGGGCUAAUACCGGAUAAUAUCUUUCUUCGCAUGAAGGAAGGUUGAAAGGCGGCGCAAGCUGCCGCUUGCAGAGGGGCCCGCGGCGCAAUAGCUAGUUGGUGAGGUAACGGCUCACCAAGGCGCCGAUGCGUAGCCGACCUGAGAGGGUGAUCGGCCACACUGGGACUGAGACACGGCCCAGACACCUACGGGAGGCAGCAGUAGGGAAUCUUCCGCAAUGGACGAAAGUCUGACGGAGCAACGCCGCGUGAGCGAAGAAGGUCUUCGGAUCGUAAAGCUCUGUUGUCAGGGAAGAACAAGUACCGUUCGAAUAGGGCGGUACCUUGACGGUACCUGACCAGAAAGCCACGGCUAACUACGUGCCAGCCGCCGCCGUAA